This 65-nucleotide microRNA precursor is filed under the name Petromyzon marinus (sea lamprey). RNAcentral's name for it is "Pma-Mir-96-P1o2_pre stem-loop". The record is from RNAcentral. Lineage: Eukaryota; Metazoa; Chordata; Hyperoartia; Petromyzontiformes; Petromyzontidae.
UUUGGCACUUGCACAUAUUUGCUUCUGUGAGUUCGGAUCCCAGCAAAUGUGCGCGGUGCCACGCG